This 253-nucleotide ribosomal RNA is filed under the name uncultured bacterium. RNAcentral describes it as "partial 16S ribosomal RNA". It matches the Rfam family "Bacterial small subunit ribosomal RNA", at positions 524 to 776 of the family's 1533-position model. The record is from RNAcentral.
UACGGGGGGAGCAAGCGUUGUUCGGAUUUACUGGGCGUAAAGGGCGCGUAGGCGGCGCAACAAGUCACUUGUGAAAUCUCCGGGCUUAACUCGGAACGGUCAAGUGAUACUGUUGUGCUAGAGUGCGGAAGGGGCAACUGGAAUUCUCGGUGUAGCGGUGAAAUGCGUAGAUAUCGAGAGGAACACCUGCGGUGAAGGCGGGUUGCUGGGCCGACACUGACGCUGAUGCGCGAAAGCCAGGGGAGCGAACGGG